GUAGGUGGCAAGCGUUGUCCGGAAUUAUUGGGCGUAAAGCGCGCGCAGGCGGUUCUUUAAGUCUGAUGUGAAAGCCCACGGCUCAACCGUGGAGGGUCAUUGGAAACUGGAGAACUUGAGUACAGAAGAGGAAAGCGGAAUUCCACGUGUAGCGGUGAAAUGCGUAGAGAUGUGGAGGAACACCAGUGGCGAAGGCGGCUUUCUGGUCUGUAACUGACGCUGAGGCGCGAAAGCGUGGGGAGCAAACAGGGAUUAGAUACCCCGGUAGUCCACGCCGUAAACGAUGAGUGCUAAGUGUUAGGGGGUUUCCCGCCCCCUUAGUGCUGCAGCUAACGCAUUAAGCACUCCGCCUGGGGAGUACGGCCGCAAGGCUG
RNAcentral lists this ribosomal RNA (374 nucleotides) under uncultured organism. RNAcentral's name for it is "partial 16S ribosomal RNA". It matches the Rfam family "Bacterial small subunit ribosomal RNA", at positions 527 to 896 of the family's 1533-position model. The record is from RNAcentral.